GAAUGCUGACAUAAGUAACGAUAAAGCGGGUGAAAAGCCCGCUCGCCGGAAGACCAAGGGUUCCUGUCCAACGUUAAUCGGGGCAGGGUGAGUCGACCCCUAAGGCGAGGCCGAAAGGCGUAGUCGAUGGGAAACGGGUUAAUAUUCCCGUACUUGGUGUUACUGCGAAGGGGGGACGGAGAAGGCUAUGUUGGCCGGGCGACGGUUGUCCCGGUUUAAGCGUGUAGGUGUGUGUUCCAGGUAAAUCCGGUUCACUUUAACACUGAGGCGUGACGACGAGGCACUACGGUGCUGAAGCAACAAAUGCCCUGCUUCCAGGAAAAGCCUCUAAGCAUCAGGUAACACGAAAUCGUACCCCAAACCGACACAGGUGGUCAGGUAGAGAAUACCAAGGCGCUUGAGAGAACUCGGGU
This 413-nucleotide ribosomal RNA is filed under the name Salmonella enterica subsp. enterica serovar Typhimurium. Its description in RNAcentral is "partial 23S ribosomal RNA". It matches the Rfam family "Bacterial large subunit ribosomal RNA", at positions 1292 to 1705 of the family's 2925-position model. The record is from RNAcentral. Lineage: Bacteria; Pseudomonadati; Pseudomonadota; Gammaproteobacteria; Enterobacterales; Enterobacteriaceae.